GGGUGCGUAACACGUGGGCAAUCUGCCCUCCGAUGGGGAAUAACCCCGCGAAAGCGGGGCUAAUACCGCAUAACAUUCCUUGGACUACGGUUUGAGGAUUCAAAGCAGUGAUGCGUCGGAGGAGGAGCCCGCGCCCGAUUAGCUAGUUGGUGAGGUAACGGCUCACCAAGGCAAUGAUCGGUAGCUGGUCUGAGAGGAUGAUCAGCCACACUGGAACUGAGACACGGUCCAGACUCCUACGGGAGGCAGCAGUGGGGAAUCUUGCGCAAUGGGCGAAAGCCUGACGCAGCGACGCCGCGUGGGGGAUGAAGCUUUUCGGAGUGUAAACCCCUUUCGACUGGGACGAAUGCCCGCAAGGGAGUGACGGUACCAGUAGAAGAAGCCCCGGCUAACUACGUGCCAGCAGCCGCGGUAAGACGUAGGGGGCCAGCGUUGUUCGGAAUUACUGGGUGUAAAGGGUUCGUAGGCGGUGUGGCAAGUCGGGAGUGAAAUCUUUGGGCUUAACUCAGAGGCUGCUUCCGAAACUGCUGUGCUUGAGUGUGGGAGAGGCGCGUGGAAUUGCAGGUGUAGCGGUGAAAUGCGUAGAUAUCUGCAGGAACACCCGUGGCGAAAGCGGCGCGCUGGACCAUAACUGACGCUGAG
This 642-nucleotide ribosomal RNA is filed under the name uncultured Bacillota bacterium. Its description in RNAcentral is "bacterial SSU rRNA". It matches the Rfam family "Bacterial small subunit ribosomal RNA", at positions 104 to 750 of the family's 1533-position model. The record is from RNAcentral. Lineage: Bacteria; Bacillati; Bacillota.